RNAcentral lists this transfer RNA (74 nucleotides) under Stegodyphus dumicola. RNAcentral's name for it is "tRNA-Thr". It matches the Rfam family "tRNA". From Rfam's summary of the family: Transfer RNA (tRNA) molecules are approximately 80 nucleotides in length. Their secondary structure includes four short double-helical elements and three loops (D, anti-codon, and T loops). The record is from RNAcentral. Lineage: Eukaryota; Metazoa; Arthropoda; Arachnida; Araneae; Eresidae.
GCCUUCGUGGUGUAGUGGUUCUGCAGGCUGGGCUGGUACUCCAGAGGUCCGGGGUUCGAUUCCCGGCGAAGGCA